This 633-nucleotide ribosomal RNA is filed under the name Trichoderma aureoviride. RNAcentral describes it as "eukaryotic LSU rRNA". The stretch from base 252 to 405 matches the Rfam family "5.8S ribosomal RNA". Lineage: Eukaryota; Fungi; Ascomycota; Sordariomycetes; Hypocreales; Hypocreaceae. The record is from RNAcentral.
UAGAAGUCGUAACAAGGUCUCCGUUGGUGAACCAGCGGAGGGAUCAUUACCGAGUUUACAACUCCCAAACCCAAUGUGAACGUUACCAAACUGUUGCCUCGGCGGGAUCUCUGCCCCGGGUGCGUCGCAGCCCCGGACCAAGGCGCCCGCCGGAGGACCAACCAAAACUCUUAUUGUAUACCCCCUCGCGGGUUUUUUUUAUAAUCUGAGCCUUCUCGGCGCCUCUCGUAGGCGUUUCGAAAAUGAAUCAAAACUUUCAACAACGGAUCUCUUGGUUCUGGCAUCGAUGAAGAACGCAGCGAAAUGCGAUAAGUAAUGUGAAUUGCAGAAUUCAGUGAAUCAUCGAAUCUUUGAACGCACAUUGCGCCCGCCAGUAUUCUGGCGGGCAUGCCUGUCCGAGCGUCAUUUCAACCCUCGAACCCCUCCGGGGGGUCGGCGUUGGGGAUCGGCCCUGCCUUGGCGGUGGCCGUCUCCGAAAUACAGUGGCGGUCUCGCCGCAGCCUCUCCUGCGCAGUAGUUUGCACACUCGCAUCGGGAGCGCGGCGCGUCCACAGCCGUUAAACACCCAACUUCUGAAAUGUUGACCUCGGAUCAGGUAGGAAUACCCGCUGAACUUAAGCAUAUCAAUAAGCG